CCCACUAUACCUGGGUAGGGUGCGUUGAAACCUGCCUCCGGGCUCCUCCUCAGUAGGCCCUCACCGCUUCUCGGGGUCAUGGCGUGGGUCCCCCCUUGGCAGAGGACGGCCAGGAGCUGAGCGAACACUCCUGCCACGGGGGCGGCACCCACCGCCUGUUGGACGGGACAAGUGAAGCUGCCGGUCCCCGAGGCGCUCAGGCACGUCCAAUCAACCAUAAUGAUGGCAUUUUU
This 233-nucleotide long non-coding RNA is filed under the name Setaria viridis. RNAcentral describes it as "long non-coding RNA (SVIR_LNC005913)". Lineage: Eukaryota; Viridiplantae; Streptophyta; Magnoliopsida; Poales; Poaceae. The record is from RNAcentral.